GGGGGGGGCAAGCGUUGUUCGGAAUUACUGGGCGUAAAGGGCUCGUAGGCGGCCAACUAAGUCAGACGUGAAAUCCCCAGGCUUAACCUGGGAACUGCGUCUGAUACUGGAUGGCUUGAAUUCGGGAGAGGGAUGCAGAAUUCCAGGUGUAGCGGUGAAAUGCGUAGAUAUUGGGAGGAACACCGGUGGCGAAGGCGGCCCCCUGGACCGGUACUGACGCUGAGGCGCGAAAGCGUGGGUAGCAAACGGGAUUAGAUACCCCGGUAGUCCACGUCGUAAACGAUGGGCACUUGGUGUCGCGGGUAUCGACCCCUGCGGUGCCGAAGCUAACGCAUUAAGUGCCCCGCCUGGGGAGUACGGUCGCAAGGCUG
RNAcentral lists this ribosomal RNA (371 nucleotides) under uncultured bacterium. RNAcentral describes it as "bacterial SSU rRNA". It matches the Rfam family "Bacterial small subunit ribosomal RNA", at positions 527 to 896 of the family's 1533-position model. The record is from RNAcentral.